UUCAUACUCCCUCCGUCCAACAGAAGAUGUCUCAAGUUUGUCAAAAUUUAGAUGAAAUUAGACAUAACUCAGUGUAUAGAUGCAUUCAAAUUUACUUAAAGUUGAGACAUUCUUUGUUGGACGGAGGGAGUACAAU
Non-coding RNA from Brachypodium distachyon (stiff brome), 136 nucleotides. The record is from Rfam. Lineage: Eukaryota; Viridiplantae; Streptophyta; Magnoliopsida; Poales; Poaceae.